CUCAGUGUUUGUAAUCCUCCUACAACCCAGGCACCCAUGGGCAAGCCUUCUGUGUGUUCAUCCAUCUACGCACGUACACGGGUGAACUGGAAAGCUCCAAUACCUUGGAGAAGGUUGUUCCUGCGGUCAGAUCUUCAGAACCGAAGCUGCUGGAGAUGCUCCCUGCAUUCAGUAAAAUGGCGUUGGUGCUGGAGCUUCUGCAGAUGCCUAAGUCUCUGGUUAUUGUACCUUCUGUUUUGGAGCCUGAGGACGCUCUUUCCUGCAACUCUGUUUUCUUCUGUUAGUUCUGGCCUCUCUCCAUGCCUGGAGUGUGCGCCAGUGUCAGAGAUGGAGACUUGGAAGACGUGUUGACCAAAAGAAACUAGCGUGGCAGUUUCUGGCUAAACCUUCCGUAAAGCUUCUAUUCAUUAAACCUGAUUUUUCUCCUUUGUUUGCUAGCACAGUGCUAUCAUCUGCCAAUUUUGUAUUUAUAUAUCUUUUCAAAUGAAUUCACUGAUUUGAAUUUGAGUCCUGUUGAUUCCCUCUCAUGUAACAAAAAAUAAAAUCCUCUCAACUAUCAUAAAUAAUUUUUUUUCUUUUUUUUUGCUUCUCAAGAGUCUAAUUUGGUUUAAAGCACUGAUGGAU
Molecule: long non-coding RNA, 624 nt
Filed under: Homo sapiens (human)
Lineage: Eukaryota; Metazoa; Chordata; Mammalia; Primates; Hominidae
Description: HSALNT0082737
Source: RNAcentral